RNAcentral lists this unclassified non-coding RNA (253 nucleotides) under uncultured Rickettsiaceae bacterium. RNAcentral's name for it is "contains 16S-23S intergenic spacer region". It matches the Rfam family "Bacterial small subunit ribosomal RNA", at positions 524 to 776 of the family's 1533-position model. Lineage: Bacteria; Pseudomonadati; Pseudomonadota; Alphaproteobacteria; Rickettsiales; Rickettsiaceae. The record is from RNAcentral.
GACGGAGGGGGCUAGCGUUGUUCGGAAUUACUGGGCGUAAAGGGCGCGUAGGCGGAUUAGUAAGUUGGGAGUGAAAUCCCGGGGCUCAACCUCGGAAUUGCUUUCAAAACUGUUAGUCUAGAGUGAAGUAGGGGGUGAUGGAAUUCCUUGUGUAGAGGUGAAAUUCUUAAAUAUUAGGAGGAACACCGGUGGCGAAGGCGGUCACCUGGGCUUCAACUGACGCUGAGGCGCGAAAGCGUGGGGAGCAAACAGG